RNAcentral lists this ribosomal RNA (420 nucleotides) under Streptomyces coelicoflavus. RNAcentral's name for it is "partial 23S ribosomal RNA". It matches the Rfam family "Bacterial large subunit ribosomal RNA", at positions 2512 to 2925 of the family's 2925-position model. Lineage: Bacteria; Bacillati; Actinomycetota; Actinomycetes; Kitasatosporales; Streptomycetaceae. The record is from RNAcentral.
GAUGGUUUGGCACCUCGAUGUCGGCUCGUCGCAUCCUGGGGCUGGAGUCGGUCCCAAGGGUUGGGCUGUUCGCCCAUUAAAGCGGUACGCGAGCUGGGUUUAGAACGUCGUGAGACAGUUCGGUCCCUAUCCGCUGUGCGCGUAGGAGUCUUGAGAAGGGCUGUCCCUAGUACGAGAGGACCGGGACGGACGAACCUCUGGUGUGCCAGUUGUUCUGCCAAGGGCAUGGCUGGUUGGCUACGUUCGGGAGGGAUAACCGCUGAAAGCAUCUAAGCGGGAAGCCUGCUUCGAGAUGAGGACUCCCACCCCCUUGAGGGGUUAAGGCUCCCAGUAGACGACUGGGUUGAUAGGCCGGAUCUGGAAGCACCGUGAGGUGUGGAGGUGACCGGUACUAAUAGGCCGAGGGCUUGUCCUCAGUUG